UCUGGAAGGCCGUGCUCGGUGUCCGCCGAAUACCUUGUACCCCUACUUCUUCGUGCGCCUUUGCCUCGUCGGCCCUCUCCGUUGAGCGGUCAUUGGCAGCAAUCGGGAGAGACGGAAGCAGCUUUAUGAGGAACAAAAGGCGGCACGCUAGGCCGGAGCCCAACGGCGGACCCGGAGUGGAAUCAAUGGAAAGGGAUACUCGAGUGAGGAGACGGCAAGUGACGGUGAGAAGGAGGAGGCGAUGGGAGCGACGAUGGAUCCCCCGGUGGCGCUAGGGCCGGAUAUAAUGAUGAAAAUACUCGAGUCCUCUGACGCUUGCAGCGUGGCACGGCGCACUCUGGUUUCUCUCAGAUGGCACGAGAUCGCCGCCAGCGACUUUCUCUGGGCCCAAAAGACUGCUCCAGAAUAUUGGCAGAACCUUGAUCCUUCAUCGAUGGGUACUGGCCCUCCAAUCCACAGCUACUUCCAGCCAAAUGGUUCUCAGGAAGCAGAUCCUGAUGAUAAAGUAUGGGGAGGUCAUGAAUGCACAUAAUCAUCACCAGCUAUAUAGGCGAGGCACGAAUCUGGGAUCACUAUGUGAGGAUUAACAGGUGGCCUCCAAUGACCAUGUCGAGGAAAGAGGAUUGGAGUUGGACCUCUAUUGCUACAGCAAUGUUCCUGAUGCUGAGAAAGAGGGUGGUAUCGGUCUAGUAAAUUAAGAACCACUACUGAAGCUAUUGAUACCGUCAAACCAGCAAUUUUCUAAAGAGGUUCUCUGGUAUUUUAAUGCUUCCGAUCAAUCUUUCGGAUGGCGGCCUUUGCAUUGGUGUUACAUAUAUAUGUUGUGUUGAAUCAUCUUAUUGUCUCGAAAGGCUUAUCUCCACUAUCUGGCUCGAAAACUCUUUAUCUUCAUGAAUAUGGCCAAUGGCAAGCAGACUUUCUGCAAUGCUCUAAUGUCUUGUGCCGUUUCAAAGUAGGUGAAUUUUGUUGAGUUAUUAUCUGUCAGUGCUGAGGUUCAUGUUCAAUAUAUUUGCUACAAUGGAACAACUUUUUUUGCAAUAAAAUAUUAUAUCGUCUUUA
This is a long non-coding RNA of Musa acuminata AAA Group (dessert banana), 1059 nucleotides long. RefSeq lists it as uncharacterized. The transcript is spliced from 2 exons. The record is from RefSeq and is a predicted model, not a curated record. NCBI's taxonomy places the organism in Eukaryota, Viridiplantae, Streptophyta, Magnoliopsida, Zingiberales, Musaceae.